This is a long non-coding RNA of Bos taurus (domestic cattle), 1143 nucleotides long. The record is from Ensembl. Lineage: Eukaryota; Metazoa; Chordata; Mammalia; Artiodactyla; Bovidae.
CUAGUGUUGCUGCAGCCAUCUUGCAACCACAAGGGACACUGGUCUUGCAGACAGAAGCCAAGCACAAAAAUGGGAGGCCCCUGAAAUACUGACCUACACCCAACUUUUGUAAUGUGAUGUGGAGGUCCCGACUGUCAAAGCCGGUUGUAGGCUCUUCUGUUCCUUAUAGCAGGGAGGAUCCCUCCACAGAGUCCUGAGCACACCGUGCACCGCCUGGGGUCUCUCCCACCUCAGGAGCAAGUCUCACUGCCAGGGGCUGGGAGGAAGCAACAUGCUCUCCUUGUUUUGCUCCUGCUGUGUCUCCUCUGUUGUUCCUCUUCCAUCCACACCUUUACCCACCUUGAAGACAACACUGCCUUCUUGGUUGGCCUUUCUGGGGCCCAGGAAUAGAGCUGACUAAGUGUCCCUCUCCCCCUUCCUGGGAGCAUGGCCUGGGCCUGAUUUGUUAGGCCUCCUUGCAGAGACUGGCUCAGGCCCUGGCACUUAACUUGUCCCCAGGAAUUGCUUAUUAAGAGCCCUAGUCAACAUGCGCGUGAUGAGAUGAACUCAACCUUGUCAGCAGGUGGGAGAAGUUUGAGCCGGAGCAUCUACUCCUCAGGCCUUAAGGGAUUUUAUCCCUAUGCUGCCCCCCUGAGUUCAAAGAAGCAGCAGGGCAGCUCAGACUCAGUGGAGCCUUGAGCCCAAGGUACGCAGCUGCUAGCGGGCAAACUGGGUUCAGACACAGCUCUUGCCAACUCUUGCCGACUCUGAGCUCUGCAAAAUGAAAGUGACAGUACCUGCUUCGCCGCGUGCAUUCGUCCCUGCACGCUGAGCUCUGCUGUCCCUCUUCUGCUCUCCCUACAGCGCGGUGAGGCUGUGGUGUCAACUCCAUCAUACAGACCAGGAAAUGGGGUCCCAGGAGAGUCAAAGUCACCCAGCAGGAAAGGAAAGUGAAGUCGCUCAGUCAUGUCCGACUCUUUGUGACCCCAUGGAGUGUAGCCUACCAAGCUCCUCUGUCCAUGGGAUUUUCCAGGCAAUAGUAACUGGAGUGGAUUGCCAUUUCCUUCUCCAGGCUGGCAUGGAUCUUAUGAAGACAUUGUGUGCUAAACAUGGAUUUCUAUUCCUGGCACAUAGACCUCCAAUAAAAGGUGGCCUCUUUUAAUG